GCACAACCCGUCAAAGCAAAUAUGGUCCACCGCAUGUAAGUUAUGAGACAGGCACGUCGAUGAAUGUUUUGACAGCAACUUUGGUAACUAGAGCGGUUCAAUUGAAGGUGUGGAUGUCUUGCUACGCACUGGAAUGCGAAGCCGCUUUCUGGGACGCUUGAUUGGUGGCGCUAACACCCGGCGCCUUUCUGCAGUGGCUGAUGCGUCUAGUCGCAACAAGAAACCAUAUGCUGCAUGGCUAGUGGUCAGGUCUUUCACUUCCGUGACGAUUCUGUCCACAAGGCCCACGUAGCCGGGAACGUCCUUGGCCAGCUCGUGAACUUGCCUCAGCGAUGAGACUAGAGCCUGGUAACUUUGUUCCU
This is a long non-coding RNA of Rhipicephalus sanguineus (brown dog tick), 362 nucleotides long. RefSeq lists it as uncharacterized. The record is from RefSeq and is a predicted model, not a curated record. The transcript is spliced from 3 exons. NCBI's taxonomy places the organism in Eukaryota, Metazoa, Arthropoda, Arachnida, Ixodida, Ixodidae.